GCAGUCGACGACUCUGGUAUUGAUUGGUGCUUGCAUCAUGAUUUACAUUUGAGUGAGUGGCGAACUGGUGAGUAACACGUGGGAAACCUGCCCAGAAGCGGGGGAUAACACCUGGAAACAGAUGCUAAUACCGCAUAACAACUUGGACCGCAUGGUCCGAGUUUGAAAGAUGGCUUCGGCUAUCACUUUUGGAUGGUCCCGCGGCGUAUUAGCUAGAUGGUGGGGUAACGGCUCACCAUGGCAAUGAUACGUAGCCGACCUGAGAGGGUAAUCGGCCACAUUGGGACUGAGACACGGCCCAAACUCCUACGGGAGGCAGCAGUAGGGAAUCUUCCACAAUGGACGAAAGUCUGAUGGAGCAACGCCGCGUGAGUGAAGAAGGGUUUCGGCUCGUAAAACUCUGUUGUUAAAGAAGAACAUAUCUGAGAGUAACUGUUCAGGUAUUGACGGUAUUUAACCAGAAAGCCACGGCUAACUACGUGCCAGCAGCCGCGGUAAUACGUAGGUGGCAAGCGUUGUCCGGAUUUAUUGGGCGUAAAGCGAGCGCAGGCGGUUUUUUAAGUCUGAUGGAAAGCCUUCGGCUCAACCGAAGAAGUGCAUCGGAAACUGGGAAACUUGAGUGCAGAAGAGGACAGUGGAACUCCAUGUGUAGCGGUGAAAUGCGUAGAUAUAUGGAAGAACACCAGUGGCGAAGGCGGCUGUCUGGUCUGUAACUGACGCUGAGGCUCGAAAGUAUGGGUAGCAAACAGGAUUAGAUACCCUGGUAGUCCAUACCGUAAACGAUGAAUGCUAAGUGUUGGAGGGUUUCCGCCUUCAGUGCUGCAGCUAACGCAUUAAGCAUUC
RNAcentral lists this ribosomal RNA (843 nucleotides) under Lactiplantibacillus plantarum. Its description in RNAcentral is "bacterial SSU rRNA". It matches the Rfam family "Bacterial small subunit ribosomal RNA", at positions 57 to 869 of the family's 1533-position model. The record is from RNAcentral. Lineage: Bacteria; Bacillati; Bacillota; Bacilli; Lactobacillales; Lactobacillaceae.